GACGAACGCUGGCGGCGUGCCUAACACAUGCAAGUCGAGCGGAGAUUGCAGUAAUGUAAUCUUAGCGGCGGACGGGUGAGUAACGCGUGGGCAACCUGCCUUGUACUGGGGGAUAACACAGGGAAACUUGUGCUAAUACCGCAUAAGAUCAUAAUAUGGCAUCAUAAAGUGAUCAAAGGAGUAAUCCGGUAUAAGAUGGGCCCG
This 204-nucleotide ribosomal RNA is filed under the name uncultured Bacillota bacterium. RNAcentral describes it as "uncultured Firmicutes bacterium partial 16S ribosomal RNA". It matches the Rfam family "Bacterial small subunit ribosomal RNA", at positions 28 to 233 of the family's 1533-position model. The record is from RNAcentral. Lineage: Bacteria; Bacillati; Bacillota.